GACGAACGCUGGCGGCGUGCUUAACACAUGCAAGUCGAACGGAAAGGCCCCUUUGGGGGUACUCGAGUGGCGAACGGGUGCGUAACACGUGAGUAACCUGCCCUUGACUUCGGGAUAACUUCAGGAAACUGGGGCUAAUACCGGAUAGGAAUCCUUGCUGCAUGGUGGGGGUUGGAAAGCUUCGGCGGUUUUGGAUGGACUCGCGGCGUAUCAGCUUGUUGGUGGGGUAGUGGCUUACCAAGGCUUUGACGGGUAGCCGGCCUGAGAGGGCGACCGGCCACAUUGGGACUGACGUACGGCCCAGACUCCUACGGGUGGCAGCAGUGGGGAAUAUUGCACAAUGGGCGGAAGCCUGAUGCAGCAACGCCGCGGGCGGGAUGACGGCCUUCGGGUUGUAAACCGCUUUCAGCAGGGGCGAAGCUUGUGGUGACGGUACCUGCAGAAGAAGCACCGGCUAACUACGUG
Molecule: ribosomal RNA, 465 nt
Filed under: uncultured bacterium
Lineage: Bacteria
Description: partial 16S ribosomal RNA
Rfam family: Bacterial small subunit ribosomal RNA
Source: RNAcentral